AAAACCUACGGGACGCAGCAGUGAGGAAUAUUGGUCAAUGGGCGGAAGCCUGAACCAGCCAAGUCGCGUGAGGGAAUAAGGCCCUACGGGUCGUAAACCUCUUUUGCCGGGGAGCAAGGGCGGGGACGUGUCCCGGCCCGGAGAGUACCCGGGGAAAAAGCAUCGGCUAACUCCGUGCCAGCAGCCGCGGUAAUACGGAGGAUGCGAGCGUUAUCCGGAUUUACUGGGUGUAAAGGGCGUGUAGGCGGGAAAGAAAGUCAGAUGUGAAAACCACGG
Molecule: ribosomal RNA, 276 nt
Filed under: uncultured bacterium
Lineage: Bacteria
Description: partial 16S ribosomal RNA
Rfam family: Bacterial small subunit ribosomal RNA
Source: RNAcentral